UGCGGAGCUGAGGUACCUCUCCCUGAAGCUGUCUCCUGCAGACAUCAAGGGCAGCCAAGCAGCUGCGGAGCCUUCGCUCUCAGAGCGGGGCUGCGUCGAGGAUCGGCGGUGAGCCGGCCGCAGAGGCUACCUUCCCGGCUCGGCUUCCCCGAACCUCGCGGACACGCUCGUGGCAUAAAGAGGAGAAGGACUAAGCUUUGGCCGUUUCCCCAGCGGUGGCGGAGGCGGCGUCGUCGAGGGAAGAGCGGAGCCGAUCGCUCGCUGGAUCGGGGCAUCAACAGGUAAGCCCAUUUCUAGGAACUCGGCUGGGAAGGGAACCGCCCCGCCGCCGCCGCCGCCGCCGGCAGCUCUGUGGGACCCCCGACUCCCUGCGGCCGG
This 378-nucleotide long non-coding RNA is filed under the name Monodelphis domestica (gray short-tailed opossum). RNAcentral describes it as "lncRNA (ENSMODG00000050899.1)". The record is from RNAcentral. Lineage: Eukaryota; Metazoa; Chordata; Mammalia; Didelphimorphia; Didelphidae.